UUUGCCCGGCAUUGUACCGCCGUUAUCGGGCUAAUUUUUAAAUGCGAACGAUAACAACGUAGCAUUCGCUGUCGCUGCCUAAUUAGCAGCUAAGCGCGGUUCGGGGGGCACCGGGCAACAGAAGCCCCCCACU
RNAcentral lists this transfer-messenger RNA (133 nucleotides) under Rhodospirillales bacterium. RNAcentral describes it as "partial transfer-messenger RNA". It matches the Rfam family "Alphaproteobacteria transfer-messenger RNA", at positions 188 to 355 of the family's 355-position model. From Rfam's summary of the family: Bacterial tmRNA, also known as 10Sa RNA or SsrA, is named for its dual tRNA and mRNA-like properties. Lineage: Bacteria; Pseudomonadati; Pseudomonadota; Alphaproteobacteria; Rhodospirillales. The record is from RNAcentral.